GACCCGGUAGCUCAGUUGGUAGAGCAACGGACUUUUAAUCCGUAGGCCGCGGGUUCGAUCCCCGCCCGGGUCA
RNAcentral lists this transfer RNA (73 nucleotides) under Gemmatimonadetes bacterium 13_2_20CM_69_27. RNAcentral describes it as "tRNA-Lys". It matches the Rfam family "tRNA". From Rfam's summary of the family: Transfer RNA (tRNA) molecules are approximately 80 nucleotides in length. The record is from RNAcentral. RNAcentral also lists the same sequence under 3 other names. Lineage: Bacteria; Pseudomonadati; Gemmatimonadota.